CCUUUUCUAUAUUUUGCAUGUGACAUCCUUUGUUUGCAUUUUAAGCAGUAGACCAUUAGACUAAUAUUUGCGUAGCAGGCAAAAAAAUACUAGAGCAUGCGUAAGAGAUCUUGUCUAGAGGAAGGUAAAAAAGGAAUUAGGCGGAUGUCACAAAUAUCUGGUGUUAGAGUCAUUUGGUGUUAGAACCAAAAAUAGAGUCUGUCGGUUGGUCGGCAAAUGAUAACUCAAAAAUUUGAAAAAUUGUACCCAACCAUCCAGCCAUUUUUCAACUAGUUCUCAGAACCCUUUUCGCAUUUUAAAGCGAAGCACAACAAUAAUAAUGGGUAAUGGCUGUGGGGAGACAACAAGCGUAUAAUAUUUUUUUGUCACUUUAGUUUUUCAGACUCAGUAUAUAUAUAAAAAAUUUCGACCAAAAAUUAGUGUUGGUCGGGUGACUCUAACACCAAAUAUUUGUGACAUCCUUAUGAACAUAACUAUAAAUUUGUGAAAGUUUUUAAUCAAUUACAGUCUUUAGAAUAGCAUAAUGGAGGAAGAUUUAUGGGGCGUUUCUUUCCUUUCCAUAAUGAAACUUGUGCUUUCCUUUUCAUGGGUGUGUUAGAAUAUUCGAACCUUAAAAAGUCUAAAAAAUAUCAAAGCCAAAUAACAGAAAGAGUUUUUACGGCUGGGUUGCAGGUCACAGGUUAAAAUUUAAAAGGAUGAUGACAUUGCAAAUAAUUUAGCCAUUUAAAGUUUUGUGAUGCAGUGCCAUUAGAAAAUACGUAAUGCAGAAAAAUUAUUCUCUUUUUCUUUAUAUAUUUUGAUAAGAAUAUAUAAAUAUACGCUCUAUGUUUGUGCAACGUAUAUUAAAGUUGAAGUAUUUGAGUUGAAAGUUUGUAUAGGUAUUUAUUAGGUUAUUAGGUAUUUAUUCACCAAUGAUCAAAUGUGGAAAUAUUUCAUACAGACUUUGAGACAAGGUUUAAUUGUCACUUCAAGCGAAACAAAAGAUUGGUAAAACAAGUAAUACCAAAUACUUAUCAAAUACCUUCAAACAAUGGUUUUGUAAGUACAAUAUAGGUGUGAAUAAUUGCCAGUUUCUGAUUUUUUAAUUUAUUUUCUUAUAUCAUCGUGUGCCUGUGGAUAAUUUUAAACCUUGUCCCGGAAUCUUUUUAGUGAGACAUACGGGCAGGUCAAAUUUAUGUGUUGUGGCGCUGCAUCACCGAUAGGGCUACCAAAAUGAUUGUGCAUGUUGAACUUUAAAAAAUAUAGAAAACAAGCUAAAAAUAUAUGAUAUAUAUGUAUUUUGACCUGUGACCUGUGGAAUACACCAGUUGUAGAUUUUUACUUUUUAAAAUUGCGCACCGAAGAGUAAUACAUAAGCUAUGAUCUCCCAUUUCUUUUUGGAAGAAUAUGAUUUUUAUAAACAUUAUUUUGAUACAUCAGGGGAAACACAAAUCUCAAAUUCAAAAGCACUUUGCUUUUGAAUUUGAGAUUUGAGACACCAACAUUUCUUUAUUAUUUUAUAGUUUUAGAAAAUGAGUUCUUGGUUGCAUAAAAGAGCAAAUAAAUGAUUGAUUGCAAUUGUUGGCUUUCCCAAGUUUGUUAAAAUACAUGUAUCAUGAAACGGAAUUAGGGAUUCCUUAUUUCUGUUGUUACUUGUGUUUUUUAAAAAACUGUUUUAGUGCCUACAAAAAUAUAAAAUGCUUAAUUCUAAAAUUGCUCUUGUGUGAAAUUACAAAGAUAUGAAAAAUGAAUAUAAAUUGUAGUUAAUAUGUUUCAAUUUGAUAAUGAAACAGUAUUGUAUUUUUAUUUACUUAAUGCAUCUUGCUUUAUUAAAAUAAGUUUAAUGAAUUUUUAUAUCACUAAUUGAUAGCUAAAUAGAUGUUGUUCUAAGAAUUUUUAAAUGUGAAAAAGAAAGAAGCAACAAAGAACCAUACAAAUAUACAAUACCAAUUAUUAAAUGUAAUUUACAUGUGCCCAAUAGUUAUCACCUUCACACACCUUCGAUAGCAUAACUUUUGUUCUUACUGUUAACCUAUUGUGAAUUACAUAGCUUUUUUUGUACAAGUUUAUUUCUUAUCAUGAUUGUAACAAAGGUUAUGUAAGCUUCACGCAACCCAUUGUUGUAUUUAAUUAUUUUAGUGUAAAGGGUUAAACAAAAAAUAUAUAAGAAUAUAAGGGUAAUUUUGAAUACACAAACAAUAACAUGCAAUGUGUUACAAGUCUUACGUUUUACAGUUAAACCUCUCUAUAACAACCAUCUCUAGUUUUGCCGUCUGUGACAGUUUUUGAUGUUACAGUUAACAAAGCAGCAAACAAAUUAUCAAGAAAACAACGUACUAAAGCAGUGAGCAAUCUUAUAUUGGUGGUGGUUAUAUAUAUAUAUACAGGCCUGUGAGUGCAAUCGCACAUGCUGGAAUGACAAAACUGUGCUAAUAACUCAUUAUACGCCCCUGAGCAGGUUGGUCAAACUCGUCUCUUGCAUUUUUCUGUAGUUUGACUAAGAUAAUGUGGGCUUGGGACGAGGUAGGUAUGACCACGUUAUUCAUGUCCAUCAUAUAAACUAUCUGGCACUAAAGUCUUGUGAAAUGAAUUUUCUUUUCUUUUUGUAAAAAAUAAUCCUUACAAGUAAAUCCUACAAAUAUAUUCAUGAAACAUUAUUACUCCUGACUAAUGAAAAAUUACUCACACAACCUAAAAGUUAGGAUUACGGGUAAUGGAAAGAUUGCCACCCCAAAUUAUGUGGUCUGAGAUAUAUUUAGUUCCUAAAAAUAGUUGUGUUGUAUUAUAGAAAGUAAAACAAUUACUACUUAAUCAGUAUGUAAAAACAGUAUGAUUUUAAUAGCUUUUGUGAUCAUUAACCCUUUUAAUGCAAUGACACACCUGUUACAUGUGUGAACAAAAUCUUUUUGUUGUGACUCAAGCACACAUUUACAACAGAAAGCAAUUAAGUUUAUGCAUAAAAAAGUUUAUAUGUGGAAGUUCUUUAUUUAGACAUGAGACUGUUGCACAUGACAUAUACAUGUGACUGUAGUGUAUGUGCAAAAAAAUUCUAAAAACAAACUUAACUUAUUGAUCAACCAAAAUAUAAAGAUAUUGAAUGAGUUUUAUAAACUCUUGUGUCAGUAAUUAUUUUCUGUUAGAUAUUUCUUUCUAUCAAGUAUUUUUAUCAAACUGGAAUUUAAUUCAUAAUGCUAAUGUAUAUAAGACGUUAAUGCAUAAUAACAUGACAGUCACAGGCUUUGUAUCAAGUGCCUGCUUGGGUAAAAAAUCAAAUUUUAUAUGGAUUAAAGUUUGACAUUUUCAUUAAACUUUCAGGGUGUGGCUACCUGUAGGCAACAUGUUACUCAUACUGGCAUAAACGUUUGUGCUUGUUUGUGCUAGUGAAGGUGCGGUUACAUAUACUACUAUAAAACUCAUGCUGGCUAUAGAAGAUUUUUUCUUCUAUCAGGAAAAAAAUCUUUUUUAUUUAUUUAACACCAAUGGAUUUUUUCGAUGUUAUUAUGCUUAAUGCUCUCUCUUGUUUGUUUACUUCAUUAUCCUAAGUGUGAGCAGAUGUUACGUAUUUCUUAAUUUAAAAACUCGUGUUAUAAAAUAGAUUCUGUAUGUAAAAGGAAUAAAUAUGGUUAUAUACAAUAAAACAGAUAUAAAUUUUUUGGGGGCACUCAAAAUCCCUGUGAUUUCUAAAGUAGGUGAUUAGGUUUCUUUAAAUAUCCUAUAUCUUAAAGUAGGUGAUGAGCAUUAUGCAUAGUAUUUAGGUUAUCAGGGGAGCUGAUCCAGGUCAAUUUGAAUAUUGGCAUACCGAUUUUGAGGACAUCAAAUUUGGGUGCCUAAAAUAGAGAGAUGUAUUUUUUGAAUGCCGAAAAUUAAUUGAUUUAGAGUCUUCAAUCACAGAGAAGAUAUAUUUUCAUAAAGAAUAUGAAACCACUUUUUAAUAAAGAAAGGAACAAAUGUUGUUGCAUUGUUUUAUUUGAAUACAAUUUCAAAAAUUAUAUAAGUUGAAUUACAAAGACCUGCUCAGGAACAAACUCAUAUUUCAAUUUUUAAUGAACAAAACUUUUAACAACACAUACGAAGUACAAAUUUUGUAGUUUGACUCGGAAAUAUCAACAGUUUAGUAGAGAUAUUUUGAGUUUUUAAUUUACAACAAAGGCUGUUUUAACCAAUCUAGAGACCCUACAUAAAGUCUACAAAAAUUAUAACAUAAUAAUAUAAUAAAACAAAGCUGCAGUCAAAUCUGCAUAUAACUGCUGCUUUUGGGAAUUUUUCAGAAGGGAUGUGGCAGUUUUCUCGAAAAUCAUUUAUAACAGUAUUUUAUCUUUAAUAAUAAGGGGACAAAAAGUUUUAGCUUUUUAAGACUGCAACUACUUAAAAAAACUUGGAUGCAUGUAUUAGCAACUAUAUACCUUUUUUUUUAUUUUUGUACAUGUCUAAUUUUUGCAAAGAAUUGCUGCACAAACAAUGAGUUGUUCGAAAAUGCUUUUCGUUUUUUCCCAUGAAAAGUGCAUUUGAAAAGCCAUGUGUAAGUCCUUGUUGAAAUAUAGCUCACGAUUUAAAAUAAAAGAAAUUAGAUGUGCUAGUAAAUUUAUCAAACAGAACUAUUUUUUUCAUUUCAUUGUUGAAUGUUAUAGUUUACAGGUGAUGUUCAGGAAUUCUUUCACCAAUCAUUUGGCAAAAGGAUCUCACAAAUUUAACUUGUUGAAUUAUCAGUAAAAACUGAAAAUUAGUGUGUAGUCACCUUUUAUUAACAAAAGAAAUAAUAAAAUUUGGCAAGAAAUUUUUUUUAAAUUAACAGAAAUAGUUUGUUAUUUGCGAAUAUAGCAAAUCCUUUUCAUUUUUGCAAUUUCGUAAAUUAAUUUCUCAAAAUUCUACCUUUUUAAAGCACCCAAAAUUGUACUGGAAAUUUAAAUAAACUGUCACAGCCCUUGAUAUCAUAAAAACAUUUUAGCAUAUAAUUGUCAACAGCAAACUCGUUUGUAGUCACAAUCAGUCAACAAUUUGUCAACAGAAAAAGGAAAGAUCUGCAGUUUCGCUGAAAUUCUGUAAGACGAGUUGCCCACAAAAAGUGCUUUUUCUAACAUAGAGAAAAAGAAAGCAUUUGUCAAAUGUAUAGAUUAGUCGCCUUCUAUGGCCAUGCAUAAACUUAAGUAAUGCUUUUAUUAUUGCAGAUUAUUAUUUUAUAUUCUUAAUUUAUUAUAAAUAAGUUUUUGUUUGACAAGAAAGAAGUUCCUGAGAGUUACUAAUAUUAUUAAACAUAAAGGAUAGGUUCUGCUUGGAAAAAUUUCAGAGAGUUACUUCCUUUGUUGACUAGCAGAGUCCUGUCAAUUGAGGUAAAAGGUAGGUUGUAUGAGGCCUGUGUAAGAAGUGUUAUGUUGUACGGUAGUGAGACAUGGGCAGUGAAGCAGGAAGAUCUUGACCGUUUAGAAAGGAAUGGUAUGAGAAUGGUUAGGUGGAUGUGUAACGCCAGUCUGAGAGACAGAAAGAGUUCAGAUGAGCUAAGAAGCAGGCUAAGUCUCCGUAGAAUUAAAGAUGUUAUCCAGAUAAGAUUGAAUUGGCUGGGGCACUUGGAAAGAAUGGAGGAGGAUAAUUGGGUAAGAAAGUGUAGAGACUUGAUAGUUCCUGGAGCAAAGCCCAGAGGCAGACUGAGAAAGACUUGGCAGGAGGUUAUAAGGACAGACUUGAUACAGAGGAAGUUGAGUUUAGAUCUAACACAGUCUAGAUCAGAUUGGAAGAGGGUCAUUAAUAUACCCCGUCCAACCCAUGCUAGCAAGGAAAACGGACGUUAGGCCGAGAAUGAUGAUGAUGAUAAAGCAUUUAACUUUA
Molecule: long non-coding RNA, 5799 nt
Organism: Hydractinia symbiolongicarpus
Lineage: Eukaryota; Metazoa; Cnidaria; Hydrozoa; Anthoathecata; Hydractiniidae
Exons: 2
Source: RefSeq, a predicted model, not a curated record